This 28-nucleotide non-coding RNA is filed under the name Cricetulus griseus (Chinese hamster). Lineage: Eukaryota; Metazoa; Chordata; Mammalia; Rodentia; Cricetidae. The record is from RNAcentral.
GCUGGGAAUUGAACUCUUCUGGAAGAGC